UGCGUAGGUGGCGAGGUAAGUCGGAUGUGAAAGCUCGGAGCUCAACUCCGAAAUGGCAUUGGAAACUACCUUGCUCGAGGGUUGGAGGGGGGACUGGAAUACUUGGUGUAGCAGUGAAAUGCGUAGAUAUCAAGUAGAACACCAGUGGCGAAGGCGAGUCCCUGGACAACUCCUGACACUGAGGCACGAAAGCUAGGGGAGCAAACA
This 207-nucleotide ribosomal RNA is filed under the name uncultured bacterium. Its description in RNAcentral is "partial 16S ribosomal RNA". It matches the Rfam family "Bacterial small subunit ribosomal RNA", at positions 568 to 774 of the family's 1533-position model. The record is from RNAcentral.